GCCCGGUUAGCUCAGCGGAAUUAAGAGCAGACGCCUACGAAGCGUAAGGUCGGGGGUUCGAAUCCCUCACCGGGUG
RNAcentral lists this transfer RNA (76 nucleotides) under Bertelyvirus sp. RNAcentral's name for it is "tRNA-Arg". It matches the Rfam family "tRNA". Rfam says of the family: Transfer RNA (tRNA) molecules are approximately 80 nucleotides in length. Their secondary structure includes four short double-helical elements and three loops (D, anti-codon, and T loops). The record is from RNAcentral. Lineage: Duplodnaviria; Heunggongvirae; Uroviricota; Caudoviricetes; Jeanschmidtviridae. RNAcentral also lists the same sequence under 5 other names.